RNAcentral lists this ribosomal RNA (1336 nucleotides) under Staphylococcus aureus. RNAcentral describes it as "bacterial SSU rRNA". It matches the Rfam family "Bacterial small subunit ribosomal RNA", at positions 207 to 1533 of the family's 1533-position model. The record is from RNAcentral. Lineage: Bacteria; Bacillati; Bacillota; Bacilli; Caryophanales; Staphylococcaceae.
UCUUGCUGUCACUUAUAGAUGGAUCCGCGCUGCAUUAGCUAGUUGGUAAGGUAACGGCUUACCAAGGCAACGAUGCAUAGCCGACCUGAGAGGGUGAUCGGCCACACUGGAACUGAGACACGGUCCAGACUCCUACGGGAGGCAGCAGUAGGGAAUCUUCCGCAAUGGGCGAAAGCCUGACGGAGCAACGCCGCGUGAGUGAUGAAGGUCUUCGGAUCGUAAAACUCUGUUAUUAGGGAAGAACAUAUGUGUAAGUAACUGUGCACAUCUUGACGGUACCUAAUCAGAAAGCCACGGCUAACUACGUGCCAGCAGCCGCGGUAAUACGUAGGUGGCAAGCGUUAUCCGGAAUUAUUGGGCGUAAAGCGCGCGUAGGCGGUUUUUUAAGUCUGAUGUGAAAGCCCACGGCUCAACCGUGGAGGGUCAUUGGAAACUGGAAAACUUGAGUGCAGAAGAGGAAAGUGGAAUUCCAUGUGUAGCGGUGAAAUGCGCAGAGAUAUGGAGGAACACCAGUGGCGAAGGCGACUUUCUGGUCUGUAACUGACGCUGAUGUGCGAAAGCGUGGGGAUCAAACAGGAUUAGAUACCCUGGUAGUCCACGCCGUAAACGAUGAGUGCUAAGUGUUAGGGGGUUUCCGCCCCUUAGUGCUGCAGCUAACGCAUUAAGCACUCCGCCUGGGGAGUACGACCGCAAGGUUGAAACUCAAAGGAAUUGACGGGGACCCGCACAAGCGGUGGAGCAUGUGGUUUAAUUCGAAGCAACGCGAAGAACCUUACCAAAUCUUGACAUCCUUUGACAACUCUAGAGAUAGAGCUUUCCCCUUCGGGGGACAAAGUGACAGGUGGUGCAUGGUUGUCGUCAGCUCGUGUCGUGAGAUGUUGGGUUAAGUCCCGCAACGAGCGCAACCCUUAAGCUUAGUUGCCAUCAUUAAGUUGGGCACUCUAAGUUGACUGCCGGUGACAAACCGGAGGAAGGUGGGGAUGACGUCAAAUCAUCAUGCCCCUUAUGAUUUGGGCUACACACGUGCUACAAUGGACAAUACAAAGGGCAGCGAAACCGCGAGGUCAAGCAAAUCCCAUAAAGUUGUUCUCAGUUCGGAUUGUAGUCUGCAACUCGACUACAUGAAGCUGGAAUCGCUAGUAAUCGUAGAUCAGCAUGCUACGGUGAAUACGUUCCCGGGUCUUGUACACACCGCCCGUCACACCACGAGAGUUUGUAACACCCGAAGCCGGUGGAGUAACCUUUUAGGAGCUAGCCGUCGAAGGUGGGACAAAUGAUUGGGGUGAAGUCGUAACAAGGUAGCCGUAUCGGAAGGUGCGGCUGGAUCACCUCCUUU